GACGAACGCUGGCGGCGUGCCUAAUACAUGCAAGUAGAACGCUGAAGGAGGAGCUUGCUCUUCUGGAUGAGUUGCGAACGGGUGAGUAACGCGUAGGUAACCUGCCUGGUAGCGGGGGAUAACUAUUGGAAACGAUAGCUAAUACCGCAUAACAGUAGAUGUUGCAUGACAUUUGCUUAAAAGGUGCAAUUGCACCACUACCAGAUGGACCUGCGUUGUAUUAGCUAGUUGGUGGGGUAACGGCUCACCAAGGCGACGAUACAUAGCCGACCUGAGAGGGUGAUCGGCCACACUGGGACUGAGACACGGCCCAGACUCCUACGGGAGGCAGCAGUAGGGAAUCUUCGGCAAUGGACGGAAGUCUGACCGAGCAACGCCGCGGGAGUGAAGAAGGGUGUCGGAUCGUAAAGCUCUGUUGUAAGAGAAGAACGAGUGUGAGAGUGGAAAGUUCACACUGUGACGGUAGCUUACCAGAAAGGGACGGCUAACUACGUG
RNAcentral lists this ribosomal RNA (495 nucleotides) under uncultured bacterium. RNAcentral's name for it is "partial 16S ribosomal RNA". It matches the Rfam family "Bacterial small subunit ribosomal RNA", at positions 28 to 507 of the family's 1533-position model. The record is from RNAcentral.